UAGGGAAUAUUGGUCAAUGGGCGAAAGCCUGAACCAGCAACGCCGCGUGUGUGAUGAAGGCCUUCGGGUCGUAAAGCACUUUUCUGGGAGAUGAGAAAGGACAGUAUCCCAGGAAUAAGUCUCGGCUAACUACGUGCCAGCAGCCGCGGUAAAACGUGGAGGCAAGCGUUAUCCGGAUUCACUGGGCGUAAAGCGCGUGCAGGUGGCGCGGUAAGUUAGGCGUGAAAUCUCCCGGCUCAACUGGGAGAGGUCGUCUAAUACUACCGUGCUUGAGAGCAGAAGAGGAAGAUGGAAUUCCCGGUGUAGUGGUGAAAUGCGUAGAUAUCGGGAGGAACACCAGUGGCGAAGGCGAUCUUCUGGUCUGUUUCUGACACUCAGACGCGACAGCUAGGGUAGCAAACGGGAUUAGAGACCCCGGUAGUCCUAGCCGUAAACGAUGUGAACUUGGCGUCGGUGGGUUAAACUCCAUCGGUGCCGCAGCAAACGCGAUAAG
This 493-nucleotide ribosomal RNA is filed under the name uncultured Chloroflexota bacterium. Its description in RNAcentral is "bacterial SSU rRNA". It matches the Rfam family "Bacterial small subunit ribosomal RNA", at positions 355 to 864 of the family's 1533-position model. Lineage: Bacteria; Bacillati; Chloroflexota. The record is from RNAcentral.